This 1527-nucleotide long non-coding RNA is filed under the name Malus domestica (apple). Its description in RNAcentral is "long non-coding RNA (MDOM_LNC010034)". The record is from RNAcentral. Lineage: Eukaryota; Viridiplantae; Streptophyta; Magnoliopsida; Rosales; Rosaceae.
CAGCUACGUUAUGGCAAAUGCAAUCUGCCCUGUUACCAUUGUCAAGGAUCAUAGUGCUUGAUUAAGAAUGUGUACCUCUAAAACGAGCUUGAUGAGGGAGAUAAAUGGAUGUUGUACUGCUUGUUGCUAAAUGUUAAUGAUCUUGAAUUAUGUGCCUCCCAAUUUGCAUGUAUCCAAUAAUUUAAUCUUUGUUUGUAUGAAACUACUCUUGUUGUAUCAGUUUGAAUAAUGAACUUGAAUUAUGUGCCUCCCAAUUUGCAUUUUCUUUUAGUUGAAUUGAUAAAAAAUCUUCUUGAUAUCUGUACAAGUUCAAAAUUCUAAAAUUCUAAAAUUCUAAAAACCUAAUAUUCCUUUUUCUCCCAACUUUUUUUUCCUCCAACUAUGUGGCACUCAAUAUUGCACACUACCUUAGGAUUGAAAACCAAAAAAUCAUAUCGUUAAACCUCGUGUGAUGGCGUCAUUUUACUUAGAGAAACAAGUAGGAGAAUUAUACUACAUGACCUCGCUUAAUGAGCGAUAAAUCUUCUGGUGUCAAACCUAAACCUUGCAUAAAUAUAUAUAGGGUAAAAGACUGUUUACUACCCUCAUGUUUCGUGGUUUUCAACAUUUAGUACAUCAUGUUUUUUUCGUCUCAGAGUCAUACCUAAAGUGUAAAUUUUGGGACAGUCUCAUACAUCCGUUAGUCAAACUGUUAAGUUUUUCGUUAACUGUGACGUGGCGCACUGACUGGGCGCCACGUGUCAUCCACGUUUUUUUUUCUUUUUUUUUUCUUUUCUUUUCUUCUUCUUCCUUCUUCUUCUUCUUCUUCCUCCGACUGCAACUUUCUGUUUUUUUUUUUUUUUUUUGCUUCUUCCUUUCCCUUUCUUCCCCUUCUUCCUUCUUCUUCCUUCUUCUUCCUCCGAAAUCUGGGGAAUGUUUUUUUUUUUUCUUUCUUCUUCUUCCUCCUUCUUCCUUCCCCUUCUUCCUUCUUCUUCCUUCUCCUUCUUCUUCUUCUUCUUCUUCCUCCGAAAUCUGGGGAAGUUUGUUUUUUUUUUUUUUUCUUUCUUUCUUCUUCUUCCUCCUUCUUCUUCUUCUUCUUCCUCAAAAAAAAAAAAAAAAACACUUUUAUCUUUUCUUCCUCUUCUUCUUCUUCUUCUUUCUCUUUCCUCCUUUCUUCUUCUUCUUCUUCUUCCUCCGAAUCUGCCCACAUUCAAUUUUUUUUUUCCUUCCUCCUUCUUCUCCUUCUUCCUUCCCCUUCUUCGUUCUUCUUCUUCUUCCUCCGAAUUUGGGGGAAGAUGAAAGUGUUUUUUUUUUUUUUUUUUUUUUGAGGAAGAAGAAGAAGAAGAAGAAGAAAGAAAAAAAAAAAAAUAUUCCCCAGAUUUCGGAGGAAGAAGAAGGAAGGAAGAAGAAGAAAGAAAAAAAAAAAUAUUCCCCAGAUUUCGGAGGAAGAAGAAGGAAGGAGGAAGGAAGGAGGAAGCAAAAAAAAAAAAAAAAAAAGCAGAAAGUUGCAGUCGGAGGAAGAGGAAGAAGAAGGAAGAAGAAGAAAAG